UUAAGGGUAAAGCGUGGGACGAAAGUAGGAGUCAAAUCCGAAAAAAGUCACUGACCCCAGUUGCCAGGAAAAUCCUCGGGCGGCUCUAACUGUGAUCUGACCGUACCGCAAACCGACACAGGUAGGUGGGGCGAGAAUCCUAAGGCGCUUGUGAGAACUCUCGUUCAGGAACUCGGCAAAAUGUACCCGUAACUUCGGGAGAAGGGUAGCCCACCUGAGACGUGGGUCGCAGAGAAAUGUCCCAGGCGACUGUUUACUAAAAACACAGGUCUCCGCAAAGUCGUGAAGACGACGUAUGGGGGCUGACGCCUGCCCAAUGCUGGAAGGUUAAAAGGAGUGGUCAGCCGCAAGGCGAAGCUGCGAAUUGAAGCCCCAGUGAAUGGCGGCCGUAACAAUAACGGUCCUAAGGUAGCGAAAUUCCUUGUCGGGUAAGUUCCGACCUGCACGAAUGGCGUAACGAUCUGGGAGCUGUCUUAACGAGAGACACAGCGAACUUGUAGUACCGGUGAAGAUGCCGGUUUCCCGCAUUUAGACGGAAAGACCCCGUGCACCUUUACUACAACUUGACAGUGAUUUCGGGCAAACGAUGCGCAGGAUAGAUGGGAGGCUUUGAACUCGCCCUUUUGGGGGCGGGGGAGCCAACGGUGAGAUACCAUCCUUCGUUUGUCUGGACUCUAACCUACCGCCGUUAUCCGGCGGAGGGACACUAUCAGGCGGGUAGUUUGACUGGGGCGGUCGCCUCCCAAAGAGUAACGGAGGCGCUCGAAGGUUGGCUCAGGCUGUUUGGAAAUCAGCCGCAGAGUGUAAACGCAUAAGCCAGCUUGACUGCGAGACAGACAAGUCGAGCAGGUACGAAAGUAGGAGUUAGUGAUCCGGCGGUUCUGUAUGGAAGGGCCGUCGCUCAACGGAUAAAAGGUACGCCGGGGAUAACAGGCUGAUCCUGCCCAAGAGUUCACAUCGACGGCAGGGUUUGGCACCUCGAUGUCGGCUCAUCGCAUCCUGGGGCUGAAGAAGGUCCCAAGGGUCCGGCUGUUCGCCGGUUAAAGCGGUACGUGAGCUGGGUUUAGAACGUCGUGAGACAGUUCGGUCCCUAUCUAGUGUGGGCGCAGCAGGAUUGAGGGAAUCUGUCCUUAGUACGAGAGGACCGGGAUGGAUCCACCUCUAGUGUACGAGUUAUCGUGCCAACGGUAACGCUCGGUAGCUAUGUGGAGCAUGGAUAAACGCUGAAUUCAUCUAAGCGUGAAGCCAGACCCGAGAUUAAUCCUGACAGUGAGACUCCUGGUAGACCACCAGGUUAAUAGGGUGGAUAUGUAAGUGCAGUAAUGUGCUCAGUUGACCACUACUAAUCAGUCCCCUGGCUUGACC
RNAcentral lists this ribosomal RNA (1365 nucleotides) under metagenome. RNAcentral describes it as "bacterial LSU rRNA". It matches the Rfam family "Bacterial large subunit ribosomal RNA", at positions 1545 to 2925 of the family's 2925-position model. The record is from RNAcentral.